Non-coding RNA from Castor canadensis (American beaver), 366 nucleotides. The record is from the annotation of a RefSeq genome assembly. NCBI's taxonomy places the organism in Eukaryota, Metazoa, Chordata, Mammalia, Rodentia, Castoridae.
AUGGAGUUGAAGUUGACAUGGGUUUUCCUUGUUGCUAUUUUCAAAGGUGUCCAGUGUGAGGUGCAACUGGUGGAGUCUGGGGGAAGCUUGGUGCAGCCUGCAGGUUCCCUGAGACUCUCCUGUGCAGCCUCUGGAUUCACCUUCUGUGAUUACUACAUGAGCUGGGUCUGUCAGGCUCCAGAGAAGGGUCUGGAGUCAAUUGCAUGCAUUAGAAACAAAACUAAUAGUUACACCACAGAAUACAAUGCAUCUGUGAAAGGCAGAUUGACCAUUUCCAGAGAUGAUGAAAAGAACCAGCUGCAUCUGCAAAUGAAAAGCCUGAGAGCUGAGGACACAGCCAUGUAUACUGUGCAAGACACACAGUGA